Long non-coding RNA from Portunus trituberculatus (swimming crab), 387 nucleotides. RefSeq lists it as uncharacterized. The record is from RefSeq and is a predicted model, not a curated record. The transcript is spliced from 4 exons. Lineage: Eukaryota; Metazoa; Arthropoda; Malacostraca; Decapoda; Portunidae.
UGUGAUCAGAGAGUGGACACCCCGCACCUCCUCUUCUCCUCCAUUGGUUUCCCUGUCGUGGUCACCAAGCACCACCUGCCACACUGCCGCCAUCCUCGUGAACGUGAAGGCUUUACUGCAAUUAUACGCCAAGUGAGCAGCAGUGACUACCCAUCUUUGACUGACCAGCACACCUCCGCACCAGUGUCCAAUUCGGCCCCAGCGCGGGUGAAUCAGCUGAAGGGACGCCUGAGGAGAGGGACAGUUUUCAAGCAGCACCAAGCACCAACACCAAGCGGCAAGUGCAAGCCUUCUCCACAACCCUCUACACUGCCUUAUCUUCAUCAAUUAAAGGCUCAGGCGUGUAGAUGGAAGCAGUAGAAGAAAGACGAAAGAGAAACAAUGGAG